This is a long non-coding RNA of Suricata suricatta (meerkat), 658 nucleotides long. RefSeq lists it as uncharacterized. The transcript is spliced from 3 exons. NCBI's taxonomy places the organism in Eukaryota, Metazoa, Chordata, Mammalia, Carnivora, Herpestidae. The record is from RefSeq and is a predicted model, not a curated record.
CAAUCAGCUUCUGACCAAACUGGGAAAUAAAAUACAGAAAAAGGAGCCAAUGGGGUCUAACACAUGAACCAUCUUACAGAUUUAACACCCAUAUCCAUAAAAAUGAAAUGUUGCCUGAGUCCCCGGCUGAAGGGAAGGACUACGUUUGGUCCCCGUCAAGUCCAGGAUGGCGGUGAUGACUAUAAAUAGCGGGCGUUUGCGAGGAAACUGCUGAGCCCGUACAAAGAGCGCCCGCACCUUGAAGGAAAUUCUUGCCCAGGAGGAUGCGUCUGUCAAGGCGGAACUGGCGGAACCGGUGGCGUCAGGGUCUCCCUGAAGAGCUGACCUCUUGGUUGACCCCCGUCCGUGCUGCGGUCGGAGCUGGAGGAGCUGCGGACGGGGACCCGGAGCGGGUGCCGCAGUGGUCACAGCGGGAAGCACACGGGCCAGCGAGUGCCUGUGGGGGGAGGCCGAGAGGCUCACUGCGCUCAGGGCUGCGGGUCCGAGCCAGGACCCUGUGCACCGAGGGGCGAGGGACAAGCCUCUGGGCCACGUUUCCACGGGAGACGGCAGCUGACGCCACUUUUUGGAUGUUUGGCUUCGUCGUCUUCCUAUUCUGUUAAACGCACACCCCUGAGUGACUGCUCUUUUCCCUGCAACAGUUUUUGUUGGAAAAACA